GCGCAGGAUAAUGGGCCAUCCCUUGGCCUC
This 30-nucleotide small RNA is filed under the name Bombyx mori (domestic silkworm). Its description in RNAcentral is "ovarian small RNA-16866". Lineage: Eukaryota; Metazoa; Arthropoda; Insecta; Lepidoptera; Bombycidae. The record is from RNAcentral.